CAAGCCCCCUUUGAGUAAGAUAAACUCAAGACAAAGUAAUAACUGUCAUUGUGCUUAGAAGAACUGACGGGUGACUGCAGCAGUGCAAUGAACAAGACCAGAAGAGGCAAUCCCCCACCCACGGCAGCUUUGUAUCUUCCUGUACACUUACGAAGGUACUCCUGAUAAGACGCUGAGGGUGAUGCACCUCUUAGACCAGUCGGAGCCCCCACCCACCUGUUCCCUUACGCUGACGAAGAGAGAAAACAGACGAGAGGGGUUUUCUCUUUCACUCUCACUUCCUCUCUUCUGGUUGCCGUAGAUUGUUGUAAAGAUUGUGUGUAUGGAGAGAACUUGUGCACUACCACUGACGGGGCAGAAAGACUGAGGUAGCAUGAACAUGGACAUACUGACUAACCUAUGAUACAAUCUGAAAUUCCAAAAUGUGUAAGUUGUGAAGUGGAGUAGAUGACCAUCAUUAAAUAUUCAGUGAUAUUUCCAUAAAAGGUUUCCUAUGGCUAAAAUAUAACUGUGAUUAAAGAUUGUUGUUGUUGUUUAUUAUUAUUAUUAUUAUGACAACCAAUCUAUUGUAAUAAAAAUUGAGCUCAUCGACU
Long non-coding RNA from Pundamilia nyererei, 593 nucleotides. RefSeq lists it as uncharacterized. The record is from RefSeq and is a predicted model, not a curated record. Lineage: Eukaryota; Metazoa; Chordata; Actinopteri; Cichliformes; Cichlidae. The transcript has 3 exons.